RNAcentral lists this ribosomal RNA (201 nucleotides) under Artedius corallinus (coralline sculpin). Its description in RNAcentral is "partial 12S ribosomal RNA". It matches the Rfam family "Bacterial small subunit ribosomal RNA", at positions 1302 to 1527 of the family's 1533-position model. Lineage: Eukaryota; Metazoa; Chordata; Actinopteri; Perciformes; Cottidae. The record is from RNAcentral.
GUGCUGAAACGCAUGUCUGAAGGAGGAUUUAGCAGUAAACAGGAAAUAGAGCGUCCCGCUGAAACUGGCCCUGAAGCGCGCACACACCGCCCGUCACUCUCCCCAAAACCCCCCCAAAACAAUUAACUAAAACCUAAUGACCUAUAAAGGGGAGGCAAGUCGUAACAUGGUAAGUGUACCGGAAGGUGCACUUGGAAAAUC